This 253-nucleotide ribosomal RNA is filed under the name uncultured bacterium. RNAcentral describes it as "partial 16S ribosomal RNA". It matches the Rfam family "Bacterial small subunit ribosomal RNA", at positions 524 to 776 of the family's 1533-position model. The record is from RNAcentral.
GACGAACCGUGCAAACGUUAUUCGGAAUCACUGGGCAUAAAGGGCGCGUAGGCGGCUCGAAAAGUCAGGGGUGAAAUCCGGCAGCUUAACUGUCGCAGUGCCUUUGAUACUGUCGAGCUCGAGGGAGGUAGGGGGCUGUGGAACUUCCGGUGGAGCGGUGAAAUGCGUUGAUAUCGGAAGGAACGCCGGUGGCGAAAGCGACGGACUGGAUCUCUUCUGACGCUGAGGCGCGAAAGCCAGGGGAGCAAACGGG